CGUAGGUAACCUGCCUACUAGCGGGGGAUAACUAUUGGAAACGAUAGCUAAUACCGCAUAACAGUGUUUAACACAUGUUAGAUGCUUGAAAGAUGCAAUUGCAUCACUAGUAGAUGGACCUGCGUUGUAUUAGCUAGUUGGUGGGGUAACGGCCCACCAAGGCGACGAUACAUAGCCGACCUGAGAGGGUGAUCGGCCACACUGGGACUGAGACACGGCCCAG
This 223-nucleotide ribosomal RNA is filed under the name uncultured bacterium. Its description in RNAcentral is "partial 16S ribosomal RNA". It matches the Rfam family "Bacterial small subunit ribosomal RNA", at positions 116 to 334 of the family's 1533-position model. The record is from RNAcentral.